RNAcentral lists this ribosomal RNA (319 nucleotides) under uncultured eukaryote. RNAcentral describes it as "partial 18S ribosomal RNA". It matches the Rfam family "Eukaryotic small subunit ribosomal RNA", at positions 1470 to 1796 of the family's 1831-position model. The record is from RNAcentral.
CCCUUAGAUGAUUUGGGCUGCACGCGCGCUACACUGACCCUAACAAUGAGCAACUGUCUGGCCUGAGAUGGCUGGGUAGCCUUUUCAACCCAUGUCAUGAUUGGGCUAGAUUUUUGUAAGUCUUGAUCUCUAACGAGGAAUCCCUAGUAUGCGUGAAUCAUCAAUCCAUGCAGAUUAUGUCCCUGCCCUUUGUACACACCGCCCGCCGCUCCUACUGAUUGGGCGAUCCGGUGAGCUGUUCGGCCAUAGCAAUGUUUCUUGAGCAGGGCAAUGAAUGUUUCGCAAACCUUGCCACUUAGAGGAAGGAGAAGUCGUAACA